Molecule: transfer RNA, 106 nt
Filed under: Thermosphaera aggregans DSM 11486
Lineage: Archaea; Thermoproteati; Thermoproteota; Thermoprotei; Desulfurococcales; Desulfurococcaceae
Description: tRNA-Pro
Rfam family: tRNA
About the family: Transfer RNA (tRNA) molecules are approximately 80 nucleotides in length. Their secondary structure includes four short double-helical elements and three loops (D, anti-codon, and T loops).
Source: RNAcentral
GGGCCCGUCGUCUAGCUUGGACUAGGAUGCGGGGUUCGGGACCUGUUGGAGAAGCCGCUGAAGGCGGAACUCCCCGUGACCCGGGGUUCAAAUCCCCGCGGGCCCA